Molecule: ribosomal RNA, 258 nt
Filed under: uncultured bacterium
Lineage: Bacteria
Description: partial 16S ribosomal RNA
Rfam family: Bacterial small subunit ribosomal RNA
Source: RNAcentral
UACGUAGGGGGCAAGCGUUUGUCCGGAGUUACUGGGCGUAAAGCGCACGCAGGCGGUCUCCUUAAGUUUUGGGAAGUGACAGUUGGUGGCUUAACUGCCAAAGUGCUUCGAAAACUGAGAGACUUGAGGGCUUCAGAGGGACACGGAAUUCCGGGUGGAGUGGUGAAAUGCGUAGAGAUCCGGAGGAACACCAAAGGCGAAGGCAGUGUCCUGGGGAGUACCUGACGCUCAGGUGCGAAAGCCAGGGGAGCGAACGGG